RNAcentral lists this ribosomal RNA (524 nucleotides) under uncultured bacterium. RNAcentral's name for it is "partial 16S ribosomal RNA". It matches the Rfam family "Bacterial small subunit ribosomal RNA", at positions 28 to 523 of the family's 1533-position model. The record is from RNAcentral.
GACGAACGCUGGCGGCGUGCCUAAUACAUGCAAGCCGAGCGCAGGAAACUGACGGAACUCUUCGGAGGGAAGGCAGUGGAAUGAGCGGCGGACGGGUGAGUAACACGUAAGGAACCUGCCUCAAGGAUUGGGAUAACUCCGAGAAAUCGGAGCUAAUACCGGAUAGUUCAACGGACCGCAUGGUCCGCUGAGGAAAGGCGCUCCGGCGUCACCUUGAGAUGGCCUUGCGGUGCAUUAGCUAGUUGGUGGGGUAACGGCCCACCAAGGCGACGAUGCAUAGCCGACCUGAGGGGGUGAUCGGCCACACUGGGACUGAGACACGGCCCAGACUCCUACGGGAGGCAGCAGUAGGGAAUCUUCCACAAUGGACGAAAGUCUGAUGGAGCAACGCCGCGUGAGUGAUGAAGGUUUUCGGAUCGUAAAACUCUGUUGUAAGGGAAGAACACGUACGAGAGGAAAUGCUCGUACCUUGACGGUACCUUACGAGAAAGCCACGGCUAACUACGUGCCAGCCGCCGCAGUAA